CGGCGGAUGGGUGAGUAUCACGUGGGCAACCUGCCUGUAAGAUCGGGAUAACUCGCGGAAACGUGAGCUAAUACCGGAUGAAGUCUUACGCCACCUGGCGUAAGGAUGAAAGAUGGCCUUUGUGCUAUCACUUACAGAUGGGCCCGCGGCGCAUUAGCUAGUUGGUGGGGUAAUGGCCUACCAAGGCGACGAUGCGUAGCCGACCUGAGAGGGUGAUCGGCCACACUGGGACUGAGACACGGCCCAGACUCCUACGGGAGGCAGCAGUAGGGAAUCUUCCGCAAUGGACGAAAGUCUGACGGAGCAACGCCGCGUGAGUGAUGAAGGUCUUCGGAUCGUAAAACUCUGUUGUCAGGGAAGAACAAGUGACGUUCGAAUAGGGCGUGACCUUGACGGUACCUGACCAGAAAGCCCCGGCUAACUACGUGCCAGCAGCCGCGGUAAUACGUAGGGGGCAAGCGUUGUCCGGAAUUAUUGGGCGUA
This 483-nucleotide ribosomal RNA is filed under the name uncultured bacterium. Its description in RNAcentral is "bacterial SSU rRNA". It matches the Rfam family "Bacterial small subunit ribosomal RNA", at positions 96 to 562 of the family's 1533-position model. The record is from RNAcentral.